AUACGGAGGGGGUUAGCGUUGUUCGGAAUUACUGGGCGUAAAGCGCACGUAGGCGGAUUGGAAAGUUGGGGGUGAAAUCCCAGGGCUCAACCCCGGAACUGCCUCCAAAACUUCCAAUCUAGAGAUCGAGAGAGGUGAGUGGAAUUCCAAGUGUAGAGGUGAAAUUCGUAGAUAUUUGGAGGAACACCAGUGGCGAAGGCGGCUCACUGGCUCGAUACUGACGCUGAGGUGCGAAAGCGUGGGGAGCAAACAGGAUUAGAAACCCCAGUAGUCC
RNAcentral lists this ribosomal RNA (274 nucleotides) under uncultured bacterium. RNAcentral's name for it is "partial 16S ribosomal RNA". It matches the Rfam family "Bacterial small subunit ribosomal RNA", at positions 523 to 796 of the family's 1533-position model. The record is from RNAcentral.